RNAcentral lists this ribosomal RNA (429 nucleotides) under uncultured bacterium. RNAcentral describes it as "bacterial SSU rRNA". It matches the Rfam family "Bacterial small subunit ribosomal RNA", at positions 355 to 775 of the family's 1533-position model. The record is from RNAcentral.
UGGGGAAUUUUGCGCAAUGGGGGAAACCCUGACGCAGCAACGCCGCGUGAGUGAUGAAGGCCUUCGGGUCGUAAAGCUCUGUCAGAGGGGAAGAAGUGUACGGGUGCUAAUAUCGCCUGUACUUGACGGUACCCUCAAAGGAAGCACCGGCUAACUCCGUGCCAGCAGCCGCGGUAAUACGGAGGGUGCAAGCGUUGUUCGGAAUUAUUGGGCGUAAAGCGCGUGUAGGCGGUCUUGUAAGUCUGAUGUGAAAGCCCCGGGCUCAACCUGGGAAGUGCAUUGGAAACUGCGAGACUUGAAUACGGGAGAGGGUAGUGGAAUUCCUAGUGUAGGAGUGAAAUCCGUAGAUAUUAGGAGGAACACCGGUGGCGAAGGCGGCUACCUGGACCGAUAUUGACGCUGAGACGCGAAAGCGUGGGGAGCAAACAG